This 264-nucleotide ribosomal RNA is filed under the name uncultured archaeon. RNAcentral describes it as "partial 16S ribosomal RNA". It matches the Rfam family "Archaeal small subunit ribosomal RNA", at positions 717 to 982 of the family's 1478-position model. The record is from RNAcentral.
AGUCACUGACAUUAGAUACCCGUGUAGUCCAGGGUGUAAACGCUGCAGACUUGGUGUUGGAGGCCCUUUGGGGGCAUUCAGUGCCGGAGAGAAGUUGUUAAGUCUGCUACUUGGGGAGUACGUCCGCAAGGAUGAAACUUAAAGGAAUUGGCGGGGAGCACCGCAACGGGAGGAGCGUGCGGUUUAAUUGGAUUCAACACCGUAAAACUCACCAGGGAAGACUGUUACAUGAAGGCCGAGAUGAAGACUCUGCUAGAUUUUCAG